This 492-nucleotide ribosomal RNA is filed under the name uncultured bacterium. Its description in RNAcentral is "partial 16S ribosomal RNA". It matches the Rfam family "Bacterial small subunit ribosomal RNA", at positions 29 to 507 of the family's 1533-position model. The record is from RNAcentral.
AGUGAACGCUGGCGGUAGGCCUAACACAUGCAAGUCGAACGGCAGCACAGUAAGAGCUUGCUCUUACGGGUGGCGAGUGGCGGACGGGUGAGGAAUACAUCGGAAUCUACUUUUUCGUGGGGGAUAAUGUAGGGAAACUUACGCUAAUACCGCAUACGACCUACGGGUGAAAGCAGGGGAUCUUCGGACCUUGCGCGAUUGAAUGAGCCGAUGUCGGAUUAGCUAGUUGGCGGGGUAAAGGCCCACCAAGGCGACGAUCCGUAGCUGGUCUGAGAGGAUGAUCAGCCACACUGGAACUGAGACACGGUCCAGACUCCUACGGGAGGCGGCAGUGGGGAAUAUUGGACAAUGGGCGCAAGCCUGAUCCAGCCAUACCGCGUGGGUGGAGAAGGCCUUCGGGUUGUAAAGCCCUUUUGUUGGGAAAGAAAAGCAGCAGGUUAAUACCCCGCUGUUCUGACGGUACCCAAAGAAUAAGCACCGGCUAACUUCGUG